Molecule: ribosomal RNA, 1719 nt
Filed under: Staphylococcus aureus
Lineage: Bacteria; Bacillati; Bacillota; Bacilli; Caryophanales; Staphylococcaceae
Description: partial 23S ribosomal RNA
Rfam family: Bacterial large subunit ribosomal RNA
Source: RNAcentral
GUGAAAUUCCGUCGGAAUCUGGGAGGACCAUCUCCUAAGGCUAAAUACUCUCUAGUGACCGAUAGUGAACCAGUACCGUGAGGGAAAGGUGAAAAGCACCCCGGAAGGGGAGUGAAAUAGAACCUGAAACCGUGUGCUUACAAGUAGUCAGAGCCCGUUAAUGGGUGAUGGCGUGCCUUUUGUAGAAUGAACCGGCGAGUUACGAUUUGAUGCAAGGUUAAGCAGUAAAUGUGGAGCCGUAGCGAAAGCGAGUCUGAAUAGGGCGUUUAGUAUUUGGUCGUAGACCCGAAACCAGGUGAUCUACCCUUGGUCAGGUUGAAGUUCAGGUAACACUGAAUGGAGGACCGAACCGACUUACGUUGAAAAGUGAGCGGAUGAACUGAGGGUAGCGGAGAAAUUCCAAUCGAACCUGGAGAUAGCUGGUUCUCUCCGAAAUAGCUUUAGGGCUAGCCUCAAGUGAUGAUUAUUGGAGGUAGAGCACUGUUUGGACGAGUGGCCCCUCUCGGGUUACCGAAUUCAGACAAACUCCGAAUGCCAAUUAAUUUAACUUGGGAGUCAGAACAUGGGUGAUAAGGUCCGUGUUCGAAAGGGAAACAGCCCAGACCACCAGCUAAGGUCCCAAAAUAUAUGUUAAGUGGAAAAGGAUGUGGCGUUGCCCAGACAACUAGGAUGUUGGCUUAGAAGCAGCCAUCAUUUAAAGAGUGCGUAAUAGCUCACUAGUCGAGUGACACUGCGCCGAAAAUGUACCGGGGCUAAACAUAUUACCGAAGCUGUGGAUUGUCCUUUGGACAAUGGUAGGAGAGCGUUCUAAGGGCGUUGAAGCAUGAUCGUAAGGACAUGUGGAGCGCUUAGAAGUGAGAAUGCCGGUGUGAGUAGCGAAAGACGGGUGAGAAUCCCGUCCACCGAUUGACUAAGGUUUCCAGAGGAAGGCUCGUCCGCUCUGGGUUAGUCGGGUCCUAAGCUGAGGCCGACAGGCGUAGGCGAUGGAUAACAGGUUGAUAUUCCUGUACCACCUAUAAUCGUUUUAAUCGAUGGGGGGACGCAGUAGGAUAGGCGAAGCGUGCGAUUGGAUUGCACGUCUAAGCAGUAAGGCUGAGUAUUAGGCAAAUCCGGUACUCGUUAAGGCUGAGCUGUGAUGGGGAGAAGACAUUGUGUCUUCGAGUCGUUGAUUUCACACUGCCGAGAAAAGCCUCUAGAUAGAAAAUAGGUGCCCGUACCGCAAACCGACACAGGUAGUCAAGAUGAGAAUUCUAAGGUGAGCGAGCGAACUCUCGUUAAGGAACUCGGCAAAAUGACCCCGUAACUUCGGGAGAAGGGGUGCUCUUUAGGGUUAACGCCCAGAAGAGCCGCAGUGAAUAGGCCCAAGCGACUGUUUAUCAAAAACACAGGUCUCUGCUAAACCGUAAGGUGAUGUAUAGGGGCUGACGCCUGCCCGGUGCUGGAAGGUUAAGAGGAGUGGUUAGCUUCUGCGAAGCUACGAAUCGAAGCCCCAGUAAACGGCGGCCGUAACUAUAACGGUCCUAAGGUAGCGAAAUUCCUUGUCGGGUAAGUUCCGACCCGCACGAAAGGCGUAACGAUUUGGGCACUGUCUCAACGAGAGACUCGGUGAAAUCAUAGUACCUGUGAAGAUGCAGGUUACCCGCGACAGGACGGAAAGACCCCGUGGAGCUUUACUGUAGCCUGAUAUUGAAAUUCGGCACAGCUUGUACAGGAUAGGUA